Molecule: ribosomal RNA, 648 nt
Filed under: Salmonella enterica subsp. enterica serovar Typhimurium str. UK-1
Lineage: Bacteria; Pseudomonadati; Pseudomonadota; Gammaproteobacteria; Enterobacterales; Enterobacteriaceae
Description: partial 23S ribosomal RNA
Rfam family: Bacterial large subunit ribosomal RNA
Source: RNAcentral
UAAGCCUGUGAAGGUGUGUCGUGAGGCAUGCUGGAGGUAUCAGAAGUGCGAAUGCUGACAUAAGUAACGAUAAAGCGGGUGAAAAGCCCGCUCGCCGGAAGACCAAGGGUUCCUGUCCAACGUUAAUCGGGGCAGGGUGAGUCGACCCCUAAGGCGAGGCCGAAAGGCGUAGUCGAUGGGAAACGGGUUAAUAUUCCCGUACUUGGUGUUACUGCGAAGGGGGGACGGAGAAGGCUAUGUUGGCCGGGCGACGGUUGUCCCGGUUUAAGCGUGUAGGUGUGUGUUCCAGGUAAAUCCGGUUCACUUUAACACUGAGGCGUGACGACGAGGCACUACGGUGCUGAAGCAACAAAUGCCCUGCUUCCAGGAAAAGCCUCUAAGCAUCAGGUAACAUCAAAUCGUACCCCAAACCGACACAGGUGGUCAGGUAGAGAAUACCAAGGCGCUUGAGAGAACUCGGGUGAAGGAACUAGGCAAAAUGGUGCCGUAACUUCGGGAGAAGGCACGCUGACACGUAGGUGAAGUGAUUUACUCAUGGAGCUGAAGUCAGUCGAAGAUACCAGCUGGCUGCAACUGUUUAUUAAAAACACAGCACUGUGCAAACACGAAAGUGGACGUAUACGGUGUGACGCCUGCCCGGUGCCGGAA